Molecule: long non-coding RNA, 1349 nt
Organism: Heterocephalus glaber (naked mole-rat)
Lineage: Eukaryota; Metazoa; Chordata; Mammalia; Rodentia; Bathyergidae
Source: Ensembl
GUUCUUUGAGGUAUCUCCAUACUGAUUUCCACAGUGGUUGCACCAGUCUACACUCCCACCAGCAGUGGAGCAGGGUUCCUCUUUCCCCACAGCCCCGCCAGCAUUUGUUACUGAUUUAUUUCAUGAUAGCAGCCAUUCUUUCUGGAGUGAGGUGGAAUCUAAGAGUUGUUUUCAUUUGCAUCUCUCAAAUGACCAGUGAUGUUGAACAUUUUUUCAUGUGUAUAUUUGCUAUUUCUACUUCUUUGUCUGAGAAAAGUCUGUUCAUUUCAGAUACCCAUUUUUGGAUUGGGUCUUUAAAUUUGGGAGGUCUGAUCUUUUUAAGUACUUUAUAGAUUUGAGGUAGUAGACCUUUGUCUGAGGAAGAGCAGGUGAAGACUUUUUCCCACAUUGUGGGUUGUCUCUUCACACUGCUGGUGUUUUCUCUUGCAGUGCAGAAGCUUUUUAAUAAGAAGAGAUCCCACUUGUUGAUUGUUUAUGCUAGUUCACAGGCAACUGAGGUUUUGCUAAUAAAAUCUUUUCCUACACCAGUGUCUUCAAGAGUUCUACCUAACCUCUGUUCCAGGAGAUUUAGCAUUUCUAAUAUUUAGAUCCUUAAUCCAUUUUGAUUUUACUUUAGUGCAUGGUGAGAGAUAUAGGUCUAGUUUUAAUCUUUGACAAGUUGAAACCCAAUUUUUCUAGCACCAUUUAUUAAAGAGACUAUCUUUCCUCCAGUGAGGGUGUUUCACUCCUUUGUCAAAGAUGAAGUGGCUGAAUGUGUCUGGGGAUGUUUCUGCAUCUUCUAAUCUGUUCCAGUGGUCCUCACGUCUGUUUCUUUGCCAGUACCAUGCUAUUUUUUAAAUCACAGUAGCACUGUAGUAUAGUUUCAAGUUGGAGGUUGUGAUACCCCCUGCCAUGUCUCUGUUGCCUAGAAUUACUUUUGCUAUUCUGAGUCUCUUGUUUUUCCAAAUGAAUUUUUGAAUUGUUUUCCCAAGGUACGUGAAGUAUGCUGCUGGGAUUUCAAUUGGGAUUGCAUUGCAUCUAUAUAGCAAUUUUGGAAGUAUGGCCAUUUUCACUAUGUUGAUUCUUCCAAUCCAGGAGCAGGGGAUAUCUUUCCAUUUUCUGAUAUCCUCUUGAAUCUCUCUUUUCAGAGUGGUAUAGUUUUCAGAGAAGAGGUCUUUGAUUUCUUUCGUUAGGUUGAUUCCUAGAUAUUUCAGUUUUUUGGAUGCUAUUGUGAAAGGAAUUGUUUGCCUUAUUUCUCUCUCAGUGAGUCUGUCAUUUGUGUAGAGGAAAGCCACUGAUAUUUGUGUGUUGACCUUGUAACCAGCUACUUGACUGAAUUUGGUUAUUAAGUCUAGAAGACUUUUGGCAGA